AUAUAGGGUAUAGGGACGACCCACUUCACCCUCAUACCGGACGGGAUAUUGAGGUUUGGUAAUUUAGCACUCAUACCGAACGGGGUAUGGGGAUGACUUGUACUUGAGAAUGUUAAAGAAAAAGGUUCACGUGUAGCGGGGACAUCUCUAUGAACCCCCAUGGAUACCAGGAGGCUGGUGAAAAAAAGGAUAAUUGUUGUUUGAUGAUUUGAAUAUGAAAGUAUGAUAGGUGCUAUGUUACCAAUUAUAUACAGAAUCAUGAUAUAUAUAAUGUUA
Molecule: long non-coding RNA, 276 nt
Filed under: Carica papaya (papaya)
Lineage: Eukaryota; Viridiplantae; Streptophyta; Magnoliopsida; Brassicales; Caricaceae
Description: long non-coding RNA (CPAP_LNC002444)
Source: RNAcentral